UUGUCCCUACGGGGGGCAGCAGUGAGGAAUAUUGGUCAAUGGGCGGAAGCCUGAACCAGCCAAGUCGCGUGAGGGAAUAAGGCCCUACGGGUCGUAAACCUCCUUUGCCGGGGAGCAAGGGCCGGGACGAGUCCCGGUCCGGAGAGUACCCGGAGAAAAAGCAUCGGCUAACUCCGUGCCAGCAGCCGCGGUAAUACGGAGGAUGCGAGCGUUCUCCGGAUUUAUUGGGUUUAAAGGGUGCGUAGGCGGGCUUUUAAGU
This 259-nucleotide ribosomal RNA is filed under the name uncultured bacterium. RNAcentral describes it as "partial 16S ribosomal RNA". It matches the Rfam family "Bacterial small subunit ribosomal RNA", at positions 333 to 588 of the family's 1533-position model. The record is from RNAcentral.